AUUGAACGCUGGCGGCAGGCCUAACACAUGCAAGUCGAGCGAGCGGCGGACGGGUGAGUAAUGUAUGGGGACUGCCCGAUAGAGGGGGAUAACUACUGGAAACGGUAGCUAAUACCGCAUACUAUCGGAUAACCCAUAUGGGAUUAGCUAGUAGGUGAGGUAAUGGCUCACCUAGGCGACGAUCCCUAGCUGGUCUGAGAGGAUGAUCAGCCACCCUGCGCCUGAGACACGGCCCAGACUCCUCCGGAGGCAGCAGUUGGGAAUCUUGCACACUCGGCGCAAGCCUGAUGCAGCCAUGCCGCGUGUAUGAAGAAGGCCCUAGUGUUGUAAAGUACUUUCAGUCGGGAGGCGUUACCGACAGAAGAAGCACCGGCUAACUCCGUGCCAGCAGCCGCGGUAAUAC
Molecule: ribosomal RNA, 403 nt
Filed under: uncultured bacterium
Lineage: Bacteria
Description: partial 16S ribosomal RNA
Rfam family: Bacterial small subunit ribosomal RNA
Source: RNAcentral